Molecule: ribosomal RNA, 457 nt
Filed under: Metapolybia decorata
Lineage: Eukaryota; Metazoa; Arthropoda; Insecta; Hymenoptera; Vespidae
Description: partial large subunit ribosomal RNA
Rfam family: Bacterial large subunit ribosomal RNA (bases 332-457)
Source: RNAcentral
AGUCGUUCUGCCCAUUGUUUUUAAAAGGCUGCGGUAUAUUAACUGUACAAAGGUAGCAAAAUAAAUAGUUUUUUAAUUGAAAACUUGAAUGAAAGAGUUGAUAAAAUAUAAAUUGUCUUAAAUAUUGAAUUUAAAUUAAAAGUUAAAAUGCUUUUAUAUUUUUAUUAGACGAUAAGACCCUAAGAAUUUUAUUAUUUAUUUUAUUUUUAUAAAUUUAUAAAGAAUGAUUAAUUUUAUUGGGAGGGUAAAUAAAUUGAACUUUAAUUUAAAUAAAUAUUUUUUGAUAAAUUUAAUGAUUAUUAUUAAGAUUAUAAGAAUUAAUUACCUUAGGGAUAACAGCGUAAUAAUUUUGGAGAGUUCAUAUUGAUAAAAUUGUUUGCGACCUCGAUGUUGAAUUAAAAUAAAAAUUGGAUGGAGAAAUUCAAAUUUUUAGUCUGUUCGACUAUUAAAAUUUUAC